CAGUCGCCGCGGGAAUACGAAGGGGGCUAGCGUUGUUCGGAUUUACUGGGCGUAAAGGGCGCGUAGGCGGGCGAUUUAGUUAGAGGUGAAAUCCCAAGGCUCAACCUUGGAACUGCCUUUGAUACUGAUCGUCUUGAGUUCGAGAGAGGUAAGUGGAACUGCGAGUGUAGAGGUGAAAUUCGUAGAUAUUCGCAAGAACACCAGUGGCGAAGGCGGCUUACUGGCUCGAUACUGACGCUGAGGCGCGAAAGCGUGGGGAGCAAACAGGAUUAGAUACCCCCGUAGUCCCUGUAUCUUAUAU
Molecule: ribosomal RNA, 301 nt
Filed under: uncultured bacterium
Lineage: Bacteria
Description: partial 16S ribosomal RNA
Rfam family: Bacterial small subunit ribosomal RNA
Source: RNAcentral